This 1088-nucleotide ribosomal RNA is filed under the name Klebsiella sp. sI-Kr(M)-3B. RNAcentral's name for it is "bacterial SSU rRNA". It matches the Rfam family "Bacterial small subunit ribosomal RNA", at positions 49 to 1129 of the family's 1533-position model. Lineage: Bacteria; Pseudomonadati; Pseudomonadota; Gammaproteobacteria; Enterobacterales; Enterobacteriaceae. The record is from RNAcentral.
CUACACAUGCAGUCGAGCGGUAGCACAGAGAGCUUGCUCUCGGGUGACGAGCGGCGGACGGGUGAGUAAUGUCUGGGAAACUGCCUGAUGGAGGGGGAUAACUACUGGAAACGGUAGCUAAUACCGCAUAACGUCGCAAGACCAAAGUGGGGGACCUUCGGGCCUCAUGCCAUCAGAUGUGCCCAGAUGGGAUUAGCUAGUAGGUGGGGUAACGGCUCACCUAGGCGACGAUCCCUAGCUGGUCUGAGAGGAUGACCAGCCACACUGGAACUGAGACACGGUCCAGACUCCUACGGGAGGCAGCAGUGGGGAAUAUUGCACAAUGGGCGCAAGCCUGAUGCAGCCAUGCCGCGUGUGUGAAGAAGGCCUUCGGGUUGUAAAGCACUUUCAGCGGGGAGGAAGGCGAUGAGGUUAAUAACCUUGUCGAUUGACGUUACCCGCAGAAGAAGCACCGGCUAACUCCGUGCCAGCAGCCGCGGUAAUACGGAGGGUGCAAGCGUUAAUCGGAAUUACUGGGCGUAAAGCGCACGCAGGCGGUCUGUCAAGUCGGAUGUGAAAUCCCCGGGCUCAACCUGGGAACUGCAUUCGAAACUGGCAGGCUAGAGUCUUGUAGAGGGGGGUAGAAUUCCAGGUGUAGCGGUGAAAUGCGUAGAGAUCUGGAGGAAUACCGGUGGCGAAGGCGGCCCCCUGGACAAAGACUGACGCUCAGGUGCGAAAGCGUGGGGAGCAAACAGGAUUAGAUACCCUGGUAGUCCACGCUGUAAACGAUGUCGAUUUGGAGGUUGUGCCCUUGAGGCGUGGCUUCCGGAGCUAACGCGUUAAAUCGACCGCCUGGGGAGUACGGCCGCAAGGUUAAAACUCAAAUGAAUUGACGGGGGCCCGCACAAGCGGUGGAGCAUGUGGUUUAAUUCGAUGCAACGCGAAGAACCUUACCUGGUCUUGACAUCCACAGAACUUUCCAGAGAUGGAUUGGUGCCUUCGGGAACUGUGAGACAGGUGCUGCAUGGCUGUCGUCAGCUCGUGUUGUGAAAUGUUGGGUUAAGUCCCGCAACGAGCGCAACCCUUAUCCUUUGUUGCCAGCGGUCAGG